Molecule: long non-coding RNA, 159 nt
Organism: Juglans microcarpa x Juglans regia
Lineage: Eukaryota; Viridiplantae; Streptophyta; Magnoliopsida; Fagales; Juglandaceae
Exons: 3
Source: RefSeq, a predicted model, not a curated record
UCUCGUUUGUUGUAAAACUUACUACAAAAAAUGUUUCAUUGGAAUAAGAAGGGGAAGGAAGAAGGCGAGUCGGUAUGCUAAUUUCUCAUCCUCCAAUCAGUCCUUCCCUAUGGUUUAUUGUCCCAACAAAUAAAUAAUUGUAGGAGUGAAAUCAUAAUC